CUUCUUGAAUUUAUUUGAAGUCUUGCCUGCCCAUUGAUAUUUAAUUUAACGGCCGCGGUAUUUUGACCGUGCAAAGGUAGCAUAAUCAUUAGUCUUUUAAUUGUUGACUGGAAUGAAUGGUUUGACGAGAUAAAAUUUGUCUCUAAUGUAUUAAUUGAAUUUUACUUUUGAGUUAAAAGGCUUAAAUGUGAAAUAGGGACGAGAAGACCCUAUAGAUCUUUAUUUUAAUGGGAUUUUUAAUUUUAUUUAAAUUAAAUAUUUUAAUUAUAAUUUUGUUGGGGUGAUGUAAGAAUAAAUUUAACUUCUUAUUUAAUAAACUUGGAUAAUAGGUUUAUUGAUCCUUUAAUAUGGAUGGAAGAUUAAGAUACCUUAGGGAUAACAGCGUUAUUUUAUUUGAGAGUUCAUAUCGACAAUAAGGAUUGCGACCUCGAUGUUGGAUUAAGAUUACAAUUUGGUGUAGUGGCUAAAAUAUGUUGGUCUGUUC
This 484-nucleotide ribosomal RNA is filed under the name Homoeogryllus orientalis. Its description in RNAcentral is "partial 16S ribosomal RNA". It matches the Rfam family "Bacterial large subunit ribosomal RNA", at positions 1833 to 2582 of the family's 2925-position model. The record is from RNAcentral. Lineage: Eukaryota; Metazoa; Arthropoda; Insecta; Orthoptera; Phalangopsidae.